GGGGGAUAUUGCGCAAUGGGGGCAACCCUGACGCAGCAACGCCGCGUGAAGGAUGAAGGUUUUCGGAUUGUAAACUUCUUUUAUUAAGGACGAAAAAUGACGGUACUUAAUGAAUAAGCUCCGGCUAACUACGUGCCAGCAGCCGCGGUAAUACGUAGGGAGCAAGCGUUGUCCGGAUUUACUGGGUGUAAAGGAUGCGUAGGCGGCUUUGCAAGUCAGAUGUGAAAUCUAUGGGCUCAACCCAUAAACUGCAUUUGAAACUGUAGAGCUUGAGUGAAGUAGAGGCAGGCGGAAUUCCCCGUGUAGCGGUGAAAUGCGUAGAGAUGGGGAGGAACACCAGUGGCGAAGGCGGCCUGCUGGGCUUUAACUGACGCUGAGGCACGAAAGCGUGGGUAGCAAACAGGAUUAGAUACCCUGGUAGUCCACGCUGUAAACGAUGAUUACUAGGUGUGGGGGGUCUGACCCCUUCCGUGCCGGAGUUAACACAAUAAGUAAUCCACCUGGGGAGUACGGCCGCAAGGUUGAAACUCAAAGGAAUUGACGGGGGCCCGCACAAGCAGUGGAGUAUGUGGUUUAAUUCGAAGCAACGCGAAGAACCUUACCAGGUCUUGACAUCCAACUAACGAAGUAGAGAUACAUUAGGUGCCCUUCGGGGAAAGUUGAGACAGGUGGUGCAUGGUUGUCGUCAGCUCGUGUCGUGAGAUGUUGGGUUAAGUCCCGCAACGAGCGCAACCCUUGCUAUUAGUUGCUACGCAAGAGCACUCUAAUAGGACUGCCGUUGACAAAACGGAGGAAGGUGGGGACGACGUCAAAUCAUCAUGCCCCUUAUGACCUGGGCUACACACGUACUACAAUGGAUGUUAACAGAGGGAAGCAAGACAGCGAUGUGGAGCAAACCCCUAAAAACAUUCUCAGUUCAGAUUGCAGGCUGCAACCCGCCUGCAUGAAGAUGGAAUUGCUAGUAAUCGCGGAUCAGCAUGCCGCGGUGAAUACGUUCCCG
RNAcentral lists this ribosomal RNA (1000 nucleotides) under uncultured organism. Its description in RNAcentral is "bacterial SSU rRNA". It matches the Rfam family "Bacterial small subunit ribosomal RNA", at positions 356 to 1376 of the family's 1533-position model. The record is from RNAcentral.